UUGACAUCCAGCGAACUUUCCAGAGAUGGAUUGGUGCCUUCGGGAACGCUGAGACAGGUGCUGCAUGGCUGUCGUCAGCUCGUGUUGUGAAAUGUUGGGUUAAGUCCCGNAACGAGCGCAACCCUUAUCCUUUGUUGCCAGCGAUUCGGUCGGGAACUCAAAGGAGACUGCCGGUGAUAAACCGGAGGAAGGUGGGGAUGACGUCAAGUCAUCAUGGCCCUUACGAGUAGGGCUACACACGUGCUACAAUGGCGCAUACAAAGAGAAGCGACCUCGCGAGAGCAAGCGGACCUCAUAAAGUGCGUCGUAGUCCGGAUCGGAGUCUGCAACUCGACUCCGUGAAGUCGGAAUCGCUAGUAAUCGUGGAUCAGAAUGCCACGGUGAAUACGUUCCCGGGCCUUGUACACACCGCCCGUCACACCAUGGGAGUGGGUUGCAAAAGAAGUAGGUAGCUUAACCUCCGGGAGGGCGCUUACCACUUUGUGAUUCAUGACUGGGGUGAAGUCGUAACAAGGUAAGCGUAGCGAG
RNAcentral lists this ribosomal RNA (528 nucleotides) under uncultured bacterium. RNAcentral describes it as "bacterial SSU rRNA". It matches the Rfam family "Bacterial small subunit ribosomal RNA", at positions 981 to 1509 of the family's 1533-position model. The record is from RNAcentral.